This 98-nucleotide transfer RNA is filed under the name Acidobacteriota bacterium. RNAcentral's name for it is "tRNA-Sec". It matches the Rfam family "Selenocysteine transfer RNA". The record is from RNAcentral. Lineage: Bacteria; Pseudomonadati; Acidobacteriota. RNAcentral also lists the same sequence under 1 other name.
GGAAGCGAACGGGGCCCGGUGGCCCUCCCGGUCUUCAAAAUCGGUCGCUCCCCGCUGAUCGCGGGGGGGCUGGGUUCGACUCCCAGGCGCUUCCGCCA